Notothenia coriiceps (black rockcod) is the source of this 1348-nucleotide long non-coding RNA. RefSeq lists it as uncharacterized. The record is from RefSeq and is a predicted model, not a curated record. The transcript is spliced from 4 exons. NCBI's taxonomy places the organism in Eukaryota, Metazoa, Chordata, Actinopteri, Perciformes, Nototheniidae.
AUGCUGGCAGCAGUGGGACAGUGAGCCUGGGAGGAAUCUUUAGACAACCCCCACCGACUUCCAGGAAGUCGGCCAGACGUCAUUUCCAGGAGGGGGCUAAGGGAGGAACAGCCUUCCAGCAGAUCUCCAGAGGGUCCUGUGAACCAAGAGACGGCCCUUCCUGCCCCCAGUGUUGGAAAGGAGAAGGUAGUAGAAAGGAUUCUGAUGCCCCCUCCCCCACCUCUGUUUGUGGCCCCUGCCCCUGUUGCACGCAAAAGGCCGAGAGACACAGAAGACCCAGUCAGUCUGCCUGGCAUCACCGCGUCUAUGGGUGUUCAAGAUGAGAUCGGCAAGAAGACGAAAGUCGACGAAGAUACGUCUGGGCUAGUCCCCUACGGAGGAGACUCCUCCGACGAAGAGGAGGAGAGGACGCGCAGCAGUAAGCCCGAUCACUCAUAACCCCUGCCCCCCCCCCAGUCCAGGAUACUCACAGACCCAAAGUCUCCAUUCGGUUUACCAACACAGUUCUCAAACCCCGGAAAGGAAAAAUCCGCCCUUUCAUUUUCAUUCACUAUUUUGCCUUUUUUUACUACAAAGAGGGAAUGCAUUGAUUGCUGAUCAUUGUCCAAGUAGAGUUAACCAUUUUAAAACUUGCAGAAUGUUUUUUGUUUUUUUUUCAUCUCCAUGUGGCACUUACGGAGAGGAACAUCUGGCCCCACUUUAUGUAUCACAUCCUUUUUAAAAGGCAGGGGACCAAAAUGUACAAACUGACAGGUUGACAAUCUUAAUAUAUCAUUAUUUUAUAGCACAGAUGAUUAUUAGUAAACGGGCUGUAAAUAAAAAAACAAAUACUGGUAUGGUCUUUGAAUAAUCACCAUCUCCUGAUGUUUGGUGCUUUCGUGGACUCUUAAGGAGGAAAGGUUUUUAUUGAAUGGUCUUGGUCUAGGUUUUGCCAUGUGUACUUUUUCAGUUUAUUUUUUUUUUCUCUUAUAUCACACAAGGGGUGUGAACCUGUUGGUUUCUCUAUAGUAUUGCACACCUCUAUAGCAGUUGUAAAUAUAGAAAACCAUGCCAACUAUUUCAUUGUGCAUAUUUGUGUAGCCAAAUGACUUAUAAAGCGCAGCACAUCUUGUGGCUUCAUGCUCAUUAGAGAUUGUAAUGGUUUUAGAAAAUAUAAAUCUUUCACCUUUGUUAUCGCUGUCUUGAUAUAAACCUUUCUUUCUUACUCUUAAGUGUCUGACUCCAAAACGUUCACAUACAAUUAUGAGAAGAUGGUCAUUUUUGUAAAGAUGUCACUAUUAAACAAAUUACUCACUUUGAUCAGUGAAAGUAUUCAGGGUGGAUUUUCCCUUUUUUUUUUUUUUUUGUU